RNAcentral lists this ribosomal RNA (575 nucleotides) under Aspergillus oryzae. RNAcentral's name for it is "eukaryotic LSU rRNA". The stretch from base 201 to 354 matches the Rfam family "5.8S ribosomal RNA". Lineage: Eukaryota; Fungi; Ascomycota; Eurotiomycetes; Eurotiales; Aspergillaceae. The record is from RNAcentral.
CCUGCGGAAGGAUCAUUACCGAGUGUAGGGUUCCUAGCGAGCCCAACCUCCCACCCGUGUUUACUGUACCUUAGUUGCUUCGGCGGGCCCGCCAUUCAUGGCCGCCGGGGGCUCUCAGCCCCGGGCCCGCGCCCGCCGGAGACACCACGAACUCUGUCUGAUCUAGUGAAGUCUGAGUUGAUUGUAUCGCAAUCAGUUAAAACUUUCAACAAUGGAUCUCUUGGUUCCGGCAUCGAUGAAGAACGCAGCGAAAUGCGAUAACUAGUGUGAAUUGCAGAAUUCCGUGAAUCAUCGAGUCUUUGAACGCACAUUGCGCCCCCUGGUAUUCCGGGGGGCAUGCCUGUCCGAGCGUCAUUGCUGCCCAUCAAGCACGGCUUGUGUGUUGGGUCGUCGUCCCCUCUCCGGGGGGGACGGGCCCCAAAGGCAGCGGCGGCACCGCGUCCGAUCCUCGAGCGUAUGGGGCUUUGUCACCCGCUCUGUAGGCCCGGCCGGCGCUUGCCGAACGCAAAUCAAUCUUUUUCCAGGUUGACCUCGGAUCAGGUAGUGGAUACCCGCUGAACUUAAGCAUAUCAAAA